GACGAACGCUGGCGGCGUGCCUAAUACAUGCAAGUCGAACGCAGUGGGGACGGGUGAGUAACACGUGGGUACCCUCCCCAUCAGAGGGGAUAACACUUGGAAACUGGUGCUAAACCGAUACUGAUGGAUGGACCCGCGGUGCAUUUGCUAGUUGGUCAGGUAACGGCGCACAAAGGCCACGAUGCAUAGCUGACCUGAGAGGGUGAUCGGCCACACUGGGACUGAGACACGGCCCAGACUCCUACGGGAGGCAGCAGUAGGGAAUCUUCGGCAAUGGACGAAAGUCUGACCGAGCAACGCCGCGUGAGUGAAGAAGGUUUUCGGAUCGUAAAACUCUGUUGUUAGAGAAGCGGUAUCUAACCAGAAAGGGACGGCUAACUACGGGCCAGCAGGCGGGGUAAUUC
This 404-nucleotide ribosomal RNA is filed under the name uncultured bacterium. Its description in RNAcentral is "partial 16S ribosomal RNA". It matches the Rfam family "Bacterial small subunit ribosomal RNA", at positions 28 to 526 of the family's 1533-position model. The record is from RNAcentral.